AGUGAACGCUGGCGGCAGGCCUAACACAUGCAAGUCGAGCGGAAGCAGGGUGCGUGCUUCUGGUUACAGCGGCGGAGGGGCGGGUAAGGCCUAGGAACAUCGGUGGUUACGUGUUAGAAGGGGAGAAAACGGGGGCAAAUACGCUAAUCGCCCAUACGACCUAAGGGUGGGAGCAGGGGAUCUUAGGCCAUCACGUGAGUCUAGGUCGGAUUAGCUAGUUGGUGGGGUAAAGGCCUACCAAGGCGACGAUCCGUAGCUGGUCUGAGAGGAUGAUCAGACACACUGGAACUGAGACACGGUCCAGACUCCUACGGGAGGCAGCAGUGGGGAAUAUUGGACAAUGGGCGCAAGCCUGAUCCAGCCAUGCCGCGUGUGUGAAGAAGGCCUUCGGAUUGUAAAGCCCCUUUGUUUGGGAAGAAGAGCAGUAAGUUAAUACCUUGCUGUUUUGACGUUACCCAAAGAAUAAGCACCGGCUAACUUCGUG
This 484-nucleotide ribosomal RNA is filed under the name uncultured bacterium. RNAcentral's name for it is "partial 16S ribosomal RNA". It matches the Rfam family "Bacterial small subunit ribosomal RNA", at positions 29 to 507 of the family's 1533-position model. The record is from RNAcentral.